Molecule: ribosomal RNA, 292 nt
Filed under: uncultured bacterium
Lineage: Bacteria
Description: partial 16S ribosomal RNA
Rfam family: Bacterial small subunit ribosomal RNA
Source: RNAcentral
GUGUCAGCAGCCGCGGUAAUACGAAGGGGGCUAGCGUUGCUCGGAAUGACUGGGCGUAAAGGGCGCGUAGGCGGUGCAUUUGGUCAGGCGUGAAAUUCCUGGGCUUAACCUGGGGACUGCGCUUGAGACGGGUGUGCUGGAGGGCAGGAGAGGCUCGCGGAAUUCCCAGUGUAGAGGUGAAAUUCGUAGAUAUUGGGAAGAACACCGGUGGCGAAGGCGGCGAGCUGGCCUGUACCUGACGCUGAGGCGCGACAGCGUGGGGAGCAAACAGGAUUAGAAACCCGUGUAGUCC